Rana temporaria (common frog) is the source of this 409-nucleotide long non-coding RNA. RefSeq lists it as uncharacterized. Lineage: Eukaryota; Metazoa; Chordata; Amphibia; Anura; Ranidae. The transcript has 3 exons. The record is from RefSeq and is a predicted model, not a curated record.
UAAUGGCUCGAGAUAUUUAGCUAUCCAUACAUAACCAUGUAGUAAUCUUAUACAUGUGAAUAGUCGUUGUCGGCCCUGUGACUUGAAGGUUUUGAUGCAAAACAUGGCCAGGCGAUUAGCAUUUUCAGAAGGAAGCCAGUAAUGGCAGCCCCCAUAUUUUUCACAUGACAGGUAUGCUUUAAAAUAAAAAAAAAAGUAAAUUUCUUAUGGCCACACACACACAUGAUCACUCCGGGUGUUUCCAAUUAGGGAGAGCUACAGGUGAUUCAAUUAGUACAACAAGCUGCUGGAUUUCCAGCUAUGGAGUCUGCAGAGAUAAGACAGGAGGUAUUGCACACGUGAGAACCGUAUAAACAAGAUUUUAGCUACUUGCUCUCCUUCAGGCAAUGCGGUAAAGAAGUGAUGUCAC